CUUCUUUGCUGGCGACCGGCGCACGGGUGAGUAACACGUAUCCAACCUGCCCUUUACUCGGGGAUAGCCUUUCGAAAGAAAGAUUAAUACCCGAUAGUAUAAUGAUUCCGCAUGGUUUCAUUAUUAAAGGAUUCCGGUAAAGGAUGGGGAUGCGUUCCAUUAGGUUGUUGGUGAGGUAACGGCUCACCAAGCCCUCGAUGGAUAGGGGUUCUGAGAGGAAGGUCCCCCACAUUGGAACUGAGACACGGUCCAA
RNAcentral lists this ribosomal RNA (253 nucleotides) under uncultured bacterium. RNAcentral describes it as "partial 16S ribosomal RNA". It matches the Rfam family "Bacterial small subunit ribosomal RNA", at positions 80 to 334 of the family's 1533-position model. The record is from RNAcentral.